This 469-nucleotide long non-coding RNA is filed under the name Homo sapiens (human). Its description in RNAcentral is "HSALNT0174208". Lineage: Eukaryota; Metazoa; Chordata; Mammalia; Primates; Hominidae. The record is from RNAcentral.
UCUUUCACCUGCCUAAGAAACCCACAUUAGUGUGAUGGCUGAGUAAUUAGAGCUUACAAGAUGCUAAUGGCACCUCAGUUUCCAGGAUAGUCUCUGCAGACUGCUUUCACUCAGCAGGUCAGGCUUCCUUUCAUGAUGGCUGCCAGUAACAGCUACCCCUCAUUUACAUCCAGCAGAGAUGAGGGGUAUCUCUUCGGGGAGUUCAUGCAAAAAAGUAAGAAAUCUUCAUUCUUGAAGCCCACAGAAAAUGUCCCCUCAGUCUCACUGUCUAAAACUGUGCCAUGUGCCAUCUUUAAAUCAAUCUCUGUAUUCCAAGAAAACAGAAUACUCUAAAUUGCUUACGCUAACUAGGGCCAACCUCUGCCCCUGGAAAUCGAUGUCAAAUCUAUCAAAACAGAGUGGCUAGGAAAUCCACGGAGGCCCUAUUAGGAAUGGGACCAGGAAGCGGAAGCCAUUAAGGCUACCAACA